This 484-nucleotide ribosomal RNA is filed under the name uncultured bacterium. RNAcentral's name for it is "partial 16S ribosomal RNA". It matches the Rfam family "Bacterial small subunit ribosomal RNA", at positions 30 to 507 of the family's 1533-position model. The record is from RNAcentral.
AUUGAACACUGGCGGCAGGCCUAACACAUGCAAGUCGAGCGGAUGCAGGGAGCUUGCUCCUGGAUUCAGCGGCGGACGGGUGAGUAAUGCCUAGGAAUCUGCCUGGUCGUGGGGGAUAACGUCCGGAAACGGGCGCUAAUACCGCAUACGUCCUGAGGGAGAAAGUGGGGGAUCUUCGGACCUCACGCUAUCAGAUGAGCCUAGGUCGGAUUAGCUAGUUGGUGGGGUAAAGGCCUACCAAGGCGACGAUCCGUAACUGGUCUGAGAGGAUGAUCAGUCACACUGGAACUGAGACACGGUCCAGACUCCUACGGGAGGCAGCAGUGGGGAAUAUUGGACAAUGGGCGAAAGCCUGAUCCAGCCAUGCCGCGUGUGUGAAGAAGGUCUUCGGAUUGUAAAGCACUUUAAGUUGGGAGGAAGGGCAGUAAGUUAAUACCUUGCUGUUUUGACGUUACCAACAGAAUAAGCACCGGCUAACUUCGUG